UACAGAGGGUGCGAGCGUUGUCCGGAAUCACUGGGCGUAAAGGGCGCGUAGGUGGUGGCUUAAGCGUGCGGUGAAAGCUCGGGGCUCAACUCCGAGUCGGCCGUGCGAACUGGGCUCACUGGAGCAUAGUAGAGGCAGGUGGAAUUCCGGGUGUAGCGGUGGAAUGCGUAGAGAUCCGGAAGAACACCGGUGGCGAAGGCGGCCUGCUGGGCUAUGACUGACACUGAGGCGCGACAGCGUGGGGAGCAAACAGG
RNAcentral lists this ribosomal RNA (254 nucleotides) under uncultured bacterium. RNAcentral describes it as "partial 16S ribosomal RNA". It matches the Rfam family "Bacterial small subunit ribosomal RNA", at positions 524 to 776 of the family's 1533-position model. The record is from RNAcentral.